GACGUAGGAUGCAAGCGUUGUCCGGAAUUAUUGGGCGUAAAGAGUUCGUAGGCGGUUGCCUAAGUCUGAUGUUAAAUACUAGAGCUCAACUCUGGCAUGGCAUUGGAAACUGGGCAGCUAGAGUGCGGUAGAGGUCUCGGGAAUUCCAGGUGUAGCGGUUGAAAUGCGUAGAUAUCUGGAGGAACACCGGUGGCGAAAGG
Molecule: ribosomal RNA, 200 nt
Filed under: uncultured bacterium
Lineage: Bacteria
Description: partial 16S ribosomal RNA
Rfam family: Bacterial small subunit ribosomal RNA
Source: RNAcentral